CCGGCGACCGACGCACGGGUGAGUAACACGUAUGCGACCUGCCCCCCGCAGGGGGAUAACCGGGAGAAAUCCCGACUAAUACCGCGUAACGCCGCGGACCUGCAUGGGUCUGCGGCCAAAGGAAGCGAUUCCGGCGGGGGAUGGGCAUGCGGCGCAUUAGCUAGUCGGCGGGGUAACGGCCCACCGAGGCGACGAUGCGUAGGGGUUCUGAGAGGAAGGUCCCCACACUGGUACUGAGACACGGACCAGACUCCUACGGGAGGCAGCAG
RNAcentral lists this ribosomal RNA (269 nucleotides) under uncultured bacterium. RNAcentral describes it as "partial 16S ribosomal RNA". It matches the Rfam family "Bacterial small subunit ribosomal RNA", at positions 88 to 354 of the family's 1533-position model. The record is from RNAcentral.